RNAcentral lists this unclassified non-coding RNA (251 nucleotides) under plant metagenome. Its description in RNAcentral is "partial contains small subunit ribosomal RNA, internal transcribed spacer 1, and 5.8S ribosomal RNA". The stretch from base 1 to 54 matches the Rfam family "Eukaryotic small subunit ribosomal RNA", at positions 1778 to 1831 of the family's 1831-position model. The record is from RNAcentral.
GGAAGUAAAAGUCGUAACAAAGUCUCCGUAGGUGAACCUGCGGAGGGAUCAUUACAGAGUUCAUGCCCUACCGGGUAGAUCUCCCACCCUAUGUUAUUAUUACCUUGUUGCUUUGGCGGGCCGUUAGGCUCCGGCCCGACUACCGGCCCCGGCUGGUAAGCGCCCGCCAGAGGACCCAAAACCCUGAAUAUUAGUGUCGUCUGAGUACUAUAUAAUAGUUAAAACUUUCAACAACGGAUCUCUUGGUUCUG